GACGAACGCUGGCGGCGUGCUUAACACAUGCCAGUCGAACGGAAAGGCCUGCUUUCCCUUGUGGAUUGCGGGUACUCGAGUGGCGAACGGGUGAGUAACACGUGAGUUAUCUGCCCCCAACUUGGGUAUAAGCCUGGGAAACUGCGUCUAAUUCCCGAUAGGACUGCAGGGUGGUGCCGGUGGUGUAAGACGAUUUUCUAGUGGUUGGGGUUGAGCUGGUGGCCUAUCAGCUUGUUGGUGGGGUACUGUCCUACGAAGGCGGGGACGGGUAGCCGGCCUGGGAGGGUGGGCGGGCACAUGGGGACUGAGAUAUGGCGCAGGCUACUACGGCAGGCAGCAGUGGGGAAUAAUGCACAAGGGGCGGAAGCCUGAGGCAGCGACGCCGCGGGGGGGAUGACGGCCUUCGGGUUGUAGACUCCGUGCGACCGCGAGGAAGCCACCUGGUUGGAAGGGGGGUGACGGUAGUGGGAGAAGAAGCACCGGCUAACUACGUG
This 494-nucleotide ribosomal RNA is filed under the name uncultured bacterium. Its description in RNAcentral is "partial 16S ribosomal RNA". It matches the Rfam family "Bacterial small subunit ribosomal RNA", at positions 28 to 507 of the family's 1533-position model. The record is from RNAcentral.